This 217-nucleotide ribosomal RNA is filed under the name uncultured bacterium. RNAcentral describes it as "partial 16S ribosomal RNA". It matches the Rfam family "Bacterial small subunit ribosomal RNA", at positions 328 to 539 of the family's 1533-position model. The record is from RNAcentral.
ACGCUCGACACCUAAGGAGGCAGCAGUGAGGAAUAUUGGUCAAUGGGCGCUAGCCUGAACCAGCCAAGUAGCGUGAAGGAUGAAGGCUCUAUGGGUCGUAAACUUCUUUUAUAUAAGAAUAAAGUGCAGUAUGUAUACUGUUUUGUAUGUAUUAUAUGAAUAAGGAUCGGCUAACUCCGUGCUAGCAGCCGCGGUAAUCUGAGCGGGCUGGCAAGGC